Molecule: long non-coding RNA, 1381 nt
Organism: Camelus dromedarius (Arabian camel)
Lineage: Eukaryota; Metazoa; Chordata; Mammalia; Artiodactyla; Camelidae
Exons: 9
Source: RefSeq, a predicted model, not a curated record
AGGUCUCUGCAACCAUCAUUCCUGGCCUGCAGACGGGGGCCACCACUGAACUUAGGGAGGCUGGUGCCCCUCUCACCAGCACUUUAUUGCUUUGGGCCUCCUAGGGAGCACCGUCAUCCUGUGGACUUCUCAGUUUGACGCGGUAGAGGUGAUGCGCUCUGAGCAGUCUUGCUGUAAGAACAGGAGGAGCACCUGUUGCAAGAAAAAGAGGGGUGUUGGAGCUGAAAUUUUGAUGGUGAAAUUGGACUGAGAAAGAAGCACUGAUGGAUGAAGAGCAGCCUGCUUUGGGAGCUGAAGGCUUCCUGUGUAUUCCUUGAACAGGAUCCAAAGUCAUUCCAAAUAUACCGUGAAGUGGACAUCGAUGAUGAAGCUGGUGGAGAAACCAGGUUGGAGGAAGAUGGAGAGAAAGAGAGCUGCCGCUCACCGUAUUCCUGACACAUCUGUUAUAACAUGGCCCCUGCUGAAGUGCCAUCAGAGCUCACCUCUGCUUUGAGAAGACAUUCCCUACUCCUUAAUGGAGAAGAACCCCGUCCACGCCGACCCGAAGACUCCUUACGUAACAAGUGAUCUGGAGCUGAAGCUGCAGUAUCUCAGUGGUCUGCCUGUGCUCCUGACUUGUUCCCAAAAUAUGUUGGGAUGUUUCAGAUGGUUCCAGGACAUCAUUUUGGACACGGCAUCACUUUAAAGCACUACGGGGGAAAACUUUACUUUCUUAAAAUUCUGGGUAACGAGACUUGAGUUGAUAUAUCUUCUCCUGUGAGACAUUCCAGCCCUCACUUGUUCUGCAGACAAAGCAAGUCAUGCAUUUUUCCCUCCAGUGAAAAGAGACCCUGGCUGCCGCCCGCCUGGAUUAACUACUUACUCUUCAGUGUUCUCAUUGCCCAGCCACUCAUUCAGCUUCUUCUGCCGAACACCUUUCUGAGUCAACCACCUGGAAAAGUUUUAAAAAGAAAACACAUUAAGAACCCGUGCUUCAUUUUAGCAAAUGCCAGUCAUGCGCAGACAGGGCUCCACCUCGGGCAAGAGAAAUGCAUCCGUAAUUACCUGGCACAUCAUGAAAGGCUUCCCCAAAGUUUCGCUAUGGAUUCCCAGCAGUUUCCCUGGGGGAAAGAAUGCUUUCUCGUCUGUCAUUUCACAGAAAUCAAGACCAGCUUUAAAGAGGAACAAUUUCUCAUUGCAAGAUGCUACCAGGACAUUUGAUUGGUGCUACCAUCUAGCAGCAGUUCAUGGCAUCCUGCUCCCUUUGGGGGUCCCAGGCACGUGAUGGCCUAAGGAAGAGCAAGUCUUCAGGAGAAGACAGCAGUGCAGGUAGCCUCAACCUCUCCUGGCAGGAUCAAAGCAUGGCUAAAUCCCCAUUUCAGGGCCCAGACAAAUCUGCGGA